CCUACGGGAGGCAGCAGUAGGGAAUAUUGCUCAAUGGGGGAAACCCUGAAGCAGCAACGCCGCGUGGAGGAUGAAGGCUUUCGGAUUGUAAACUCCUUUUGUCAGAGAAGAUAAUGACGGUAUCUAACGAAUAAGCACCGGCUAACUCCGUGCCAGCAGCCGCGGUAAUACGGAGGGUGCCAGCGUUAUUCGGAGUCACUGGGCGUAAAGGGCGCGUAGGCGGGAUAGCAAGUCAGAUGUGAAAUCCUAUGGCUUAACCAUGGGACUGCAUUUGAAACUGUUAUUCUAGAGUGCAGGAGAGGUAAGUGGAAUUCUUGGUGUAGGGGUAAAAUGCGUAGAGAUCAAGAGGAAUACUGAUUGCGAAGGCGGCCUGCUAGAACGUAACUGACGCUGAUGCGCGAAGGCGUGGGGAGCAAACAGGAUUAGAUACCCCGGUAGUC
Molecule: ribosomal RNA, 440 nt
Filed under: uncultured bacterium
Lineage: Bacteria
Description: partial 16S ribosomal RNA
Rfam family: Bacterial small subunit ribosomal RNA
Source: RNAcentral